CCUAAGGGCUUUGUAUUUUCAAAUGAGUGUGAAGAUCUCUGCUCUGCUUUGGUGUGGACUUUCUUCCAAAUGUCUCUAUAAUGAUUCCAUUCAAAUCUCUUCGAAAGCUCAACGAUUGGAGGCUCCUGGGCUGGAGAGGGACAGAAGAGAUCCUAGCAUGGAGCUCUGUGGAGUACGUGCUUGAGAAAUAACUGUUUGAACCUGACAAACAUUUAAUCUGUCCACGUGGCCCCUGCCUUCUUCCCCGAUCUAAGGAUGCCGAAAUAAAGGCAGAAAAGAAUCACGAGGGAACUCUCUUUAAAGUCAAAUCCAGUCACUCUCUCUGGCAGAUCCAAAUUAAUAUGCUCGCACAGGCAGGUUGCCGUGGUCCACAGAGAAGUCUGUACUGGUUCCCUU
This is a long non-coding RNA of Balaenoptera ricei (Rice's whale), 396 nucleotides long. RefSeq lists it as uncharacterized. The record is from RefSeq and is a predicted model, not a curated record. Lineage: Eukaryota; Metazoa; Chordata; Mammalia; Artiodactyla; Balaenopteridae. The transcript is spliced from 4 exons.